AACGAACGCUGGCGGCAUGCCUAACACAUGCAAGUCGAACGAGACCUUCGGGUCUAGUGGCGCACGGGUGCGUAACGCGUGGGAACCUGCCCUUAGGUUCGGAAUAACUCCCCGAAAGGGGUGCUAAUACCGGAUAAUGUCUUCGGACCAAAGAUUUAUCGCCUUUGGAUGGGCCCGCGUUGGAUUAGCUAGUUGGUAGGGUAAAAGCCUACCAAGGCGACGAUCCAUAGCUGGUCUGAGAGGAUGAUCAGCCACACUGGGACUGAGACACGGCCCAGACUCCUACGGGAGGCAGCAGUGGGGAAUAUUGGACAAUGGGCGAAAGCCUGAUCCAGCAAUGCCGCGUGAGUGAUGAAGGCCUUAGGGUUGUAAAGCUCUAUUACCCAGGAUGAUAAUGACAGUACCGGGAGAAUAAGCUCCGGCUAACUCCGUG
Molecule: ribosomal RNA, 433 nt
Filed under: uncultured bacterium
Lineage: Bacteria
Description: partial 16S ribosomal RNA
Rfam family: Bacterial small subunit ribosomal RNA
Source: RNAcentral